This is a long non-coding RNA of Beta vulgaris subsp. vulgaris (sugar beet), 2555 nucleotides long. RefSeq lists it as uncharacterized. Lineage: Eukaryota; Viridiplantae; Streptophyta; Magnoliopsida; Caryophyllales; Amaranthaceae. The transcript is spliced from 13 exons. The record is from RefSeq and is a predicted model, not a curated record.
CUUCUGCAUCAUUCUCCAUCUCUCGCAUAUGCUCAUCUUUUCUCUCUCCUCUUCCUCUCUCCUCUUUUGUGAUUGCAAUCAAAUUUUCUCCAUAUGAAACCUAAUUUCACAAGCAAGCAUCAUCUAAGAUCUAAGGUUUGUUUUUCUGAGAUCGAUUGGAAAUUGAGUGGGUUCGUUUUUCUCCUCUUCUUCACGCCUCUCUUCUAAUGCGUCAAUGUUCCCCACAAAUUUUCACUGGGUUUCGGAACAAAGGCGGCAUAAGAAUUGAGAACUUUUACUGUUGAUUACGGAUUUCAAAUAGGAAGAACAAGAAAAAUCGAUAAUGCUGUCAACCAGUUUGAGUCUUCAAUGGAAGGAGUCAAGCUAUAAAGUUGUGAUCUUUGAUCUACCCUCAAUGAUUUCUUCAAAUGGGGUUUCUUUGAUGUAGUUGAUGACUCACUGAAGCAGACUUUUCAGAACUCUCCUCUGAUGGUGGGCUACAAGCAGUAGCACAACGCUCUCUUAGUGACGUUGAGAUUGAGCUAUGAGAGAUGAGGCUGAGUUUGUUGAUGGAGAUUGAAAAGAGGAAGCUAGCAGAAGAAGCUCUACAGAGCAUGCAACAACAGUGGCAAAUUCUGCGAGAGAAGUUAGGGGCUGUUGGAUUGGUACUUCCAACAGAUCUCACUACUUUAGUGGAGGAAAUUGGUUACCGUCUAUUUUUUCAAAUUCAAGUUCUAAUCCAUAAUAUUUGAUAAUUUACAGCUUUUAUACAUCGAUCUGAUUGAUUAGGCGUUCUAUGUGUGGUUUAAUUUGUUCUUGCAAUGUCUUGAGUUAUUAUUAUUAUUAUUAUUUUUAUUAUUAUUAUUAUUGCUAUUAUUAUUAUUAUUACUAUUAUUAUUAAUAUUAUUAUUAUUAUUGUUGUUGUUGUUAUUAAGGUGCCCAUAGCAUACAUUAUUGUUGCUGCCAUUAUCGUUCAGAUUUCUUUGUUUAUUUAUGUCUAAUUUAGUUUUAAAAGCUGCCCUUUUUUUAUUAAAUGGGUUUUUGUUUUGAUGAAAUCAGACACGCAUUUGGAGUAAGGCGCGCUUGAUCUGUUUGUCAGAUCUUUUUCCUUGUAUAUAUGUAUAUGAAUGCCCUUCUCUGCCUUUUAUCUUCCAAAUCUAGAGGAUAUGAUAUGUACCUGCCACAUCAAUUUGACUCAAUUCAGUAAUUUUAAUUCUAGCAAGGUGAUUUGUCCAUUUAUUAAGCAAUAUAGAGCAUAAAAGUGGAACGGUCUUCACGUGUUAAUCUGUUCUCUUGACAGUAGGUGUUGGACAUCGAUCUAUCUUGGAGGAUGCACAAUGUAUCCGAUUGUCAGAGAAGAAAAGCGCAAAUCUGUAUGGGCCUCCUGAAGCCAUUCAAGGUAUCCGUUGCCGUUGCUCAAAGUUCAGAGUUAGCCUUGGGUGCUACCUUGAAUAUCUUAUUAUCAGCUGAGUUAAACCCUUGUCCUGUUUUUCUGGGUUCUUCUGCUUGAUGAGAUCACUGUUGACCUUGAUGUCUUGGCAAGAGCUGACCUUCUCAAGUUUCUAAAGAAGGAAUGUGAUGAGAGGGGUGCUACAAUCAUCUAUGCAACACAUAUAUUGGAUGGGCUCGAGAACUGGCCAACACAUAUUGUGCACGUAGCCUAGGUUACGCUACAAUUAGCAAUGCCCAUGGACAAACUUAAGGAUAUAUCAAAUAUGUCACUAAUGAGAACUGUGUAGUUUGGGAGAUGAACAAAGAUCAGCCUUUUGAUCCUCUCGAUUUCUUCAUCUGGACUAUUGAGGUGUAGCUUAUUUUGAAUUUUUUCCAAUAUGCUUUUGAGCUCCUCUUUGCUUGCUGUCCUCAUUCCGCUGAUUUAUUAAACCCUCCAACAGGUCGCACAAAUUAUAUGUUGUAAGAUCCUUUCUCUAAGCAAGAGGGCUUUGACAAGAUGUACUUCUCUUAAAGAAGGAUUUUCUCUGCAUCUCAUGUCAAGUACUAUAGCUGGUGUUACAAGCACUCAGGUCACGGCUCCCAUGGAUAUGGUCAAAACGCGUCUAAUGUUGCAAAGGGGAUCAAGUGGCAGGAACUAUAAGAAUGGAUUUCAUUGUGCAUAUCAGGGAUUGUUUAGUAGGGAAAAAAAUCACUACUUUCACCCUUUGCUCGUAUUAUAGGUCUUCCCUUUUCUUUUCGCCUCUUUUUUUGGACCAACAAUGUUCGUGGCUAACUUAAUGCUGCUUGACGCAUCGUCACUUCAAUUGAGCAGGAAGAAGACGGCCACAAGAAUAUUUGUGUAUAUAGAAGUCUUGAACAUCUUUUUCUUUGGGUGGGUCCAUGUAUUGUAUUUUAUGGCUUGUAGCUAAACAAGUAGGAGUCUAUCUGCUACUUGUAAGCAUGCAAGUAUCUCGAUAUGUUUGCUUCUUAUUGGACAAUGAUUUUGUUCUUAAUUUUUUUUCAUUUUAGAUGGUAUAAUGUACUUUGGUUAAGCAUAGUUUGUUAUACUUCAUCUUUAGAUGUCUGAAUAUGUAACUUAUUAAGACAUAUAUUUGAAAUUCAAGAAGCAAGCUUUUCGUUUUCUA